AACGAACGCUGGCGGCAGGCCUAACACAUGCAAGUCGAGCGCGCCCUUCGGGGUGAGCGGCGGACGGGUGAGUAACGCAUGGGAACGUGCCCUUUUCUACGGAAUAGCCUCGGGAAACUGAGAGUAAUACCGUAUACGCCCUUUUGGGGAAAGAUUUAUCGGAAAAGGAUCGGCCCGCGUUGGAUUAGGUAGUUGGUGGGGUAAUGGCCUACCAAGCCGACGAUCCAUAGCUGGUUUGAGAGGAUGAUCAGCCACACUGGGACUGAGACACGGCCCAGACUCCUACGGGAGGCAGCAGUGGGGAAUCUUAGACAAUGGGGGCAACCCUGAUCUAGCCAUGCCGCGUGAGUGAUGAAGGCCUUAGGGUUGUAAAGCUCUUUCAGCUGGGAAGAUAAUGACGGUACCAGCAGAAGAAGCCCCGGCUAACUCCGUG
This 433-nucleotide ribosomal RNA is filed under the name uncultured bacterium. RNAcentral describes it as "partial 16S ribosomal RNA". It matches the Rfam family "Bacterial small subunit ribosomal RNA", at positions 29 to 507 of the family's 1533-position model. The record is from RNAcentral.